UACGUAUGGAGCGAGCGUUGUCCGGAAUUAUUGGGCGUAAAGGGUUCGCAGGCGGAAAUGCAAGUCAGAUGUAAAAAGCAGUAGCUUAACUACUGUAAGCAUUUGAAACUGCAUAUCUUGAGAAGAGUAGAGGUAAGUGGAAUUUUUGGUGUAGCGGUGAAAUGCGUAGAUAUUAAAAAGAAUACCGGUUGCGAAGGCGACUUUCUGGCCAUAAACUGACGCUGAGGUACGAAAGCGUGGGUAGCGAACAGG
RNAcentral lists this ribosomal RNA (252 nucleotides) under uncultured bacterium. RNAcentral describes it as "partial 16S ribosomal RNA". It matches the Rfam family "Bacterial small subunit ribosomal RNA", at positions 524 to 776 of the family's 1533-position model. The record is from RNAcentral.